This 8120-nucleotide unclassified non-coding RNA is filed under the name Nilaparvata lugens (brown planthopper). RNAcentral describes it as "uncharacterized LOC111052522, transcript variant X1". Lineage: Eukaryota; Metazoa; Arthropoda; Insecta; Hemiptera; Delphacidae. The record is from RNAcentral.
UUCACAUCUACGAACCUUGCAAUGUUCGGAUUCGGUUUAAUGCGACCCAUGUGUGUCGAGGAAGGUCAAAUCCUGGUGGCCUGGUCCACUGUCUGAGAGCAUCUGGAAUAAUUAAUAGGGGGUGCUUCCUCUCUCCAUCAGACAAAAAAUUCUCACUCUUGUUCAUAAAACAUUAAAUGUUGGAUAAGAAGCUAAUUUUAUUGCAUUCACGGAUCCCGUAAUGUACGGUUGCCAUAAUUGAAUUGAAUUGAAUUAUUUAAUGUACUGUAUUACAGGUCUCACAAUAUAAGGCUCGGUUGCACAAUUUCGGUUAAAUUUUAUUCGUGAUUAAUUUUACGAGAACCAAUAAGAGAAGGCUUUUUAAAAAAGAAGGCUUCUCUGAUUGGUUCUCGUAAAACUAAUAACUAUUAAAAUUCAACCGGUUUAUCUGCAACUUGCACUAAGUUUUGUAAAACACAACAGGCUAACAGUUACCAUCAAAUUGAUUAUAAAACUAAUCCCUCUAAUGAAUGCUUCACAAUUUGUGCCAGAACAAAAUUGUUAUAUCUGCCUCUAUUACUCUGUGAAGUGAUCAUACUACAGAAUAUCAGCUUCUAAUACAUGUGUGAUCAUACACUCAGUAGUUUAGCUUUAAUGUUUGUCAUCUGUUUUAUCAGUCAUAAUAAGUAUUUACUUAUCAACUGUUAGAAUUUCUGCUUAAUAUGAGGGUUUGUAAGUUUUGUCCUAGUCUACCAAUUGAUGGGUGCUUUGGAAGUAGAUGUGAAGUGUAGCCUAAUUAACUUGUAAUCAAGUGAUGUAUUAUUUUGUUGGCCGUUCUAAUGUAGACCUCUGGUUUGCUUGUAUGUUUUGAAUAUGCUGGUUUAUAAUUAAUUGCAUAAUUCUUAAAUAGAUUACAUACUUGAACUUUGUAAUAUAUAUAGACACACGAUGGGGGUUAAUUUAGCCUAAAUACAAUUUGAAUUAGUAUGGUGACAACUAACAUUUCAACAGUCAAAAUUCUUGAAUAAUAAUAAACUUUUGAACAGUUCAAGAGAGGCUGAUUAUUUAAUGAUUUAACAGAUUGAUUUUACAUUGAAAAGUUGCUAAUUUGUAUAAAUUCAAUUAUAUUUACCACUCUCUAGUUCAUUAAAAACCAUUUGUAAUUACAAUCAAAACAAACUUUAACAACUAUUGAACAAUCAAAUCUGUUUGAUUUAUUUCUUAUGUUACUGAUGCUUUAACUAUAGAUUUGUAAAUCUUAAACUAAUAAGAUGAUAGAUAUAAAUAUUAAUCUCAUAUAAAUCUAUAUAAAUUAAUACAUAUAAAUCUCAGUUGAUUGAAUUAAAACAUUGUGCAGUGAAUAUAAAUUACUGAUUGUUAACUAUUGAUAGAAAUUUUAUUUUGGUCGACUGAAUACAUGUGCAUUGACGCUUGAUAAGAGUUAGAAAUUUGUUAACAUUUUUAAUUCAUUUAUUUAGUUUGAGACCUAAUAUUUUUACAAUUAAAUAUUCGGAAAUUUGACUAUUCAAAAAAAGCUAAAUUCUUGUGCAUUAAAAACUAUAUUUUGACAGUGAAUAUAUCAAAUAACAAUUUGUAUAAAUCUCAAUUAAAACAACUGUAUUAUUUCUGUCAAUUGAAAUAAAAUGUAACCUUACAGUUGAAAAUUUUCUUCAACCUUAAUUGAAUAUAUUUCUAUGUUAGAAAGUUUUUGUAGAUUUUAAUUGGGUAAUACCUUGGCAGUUUUAUAAAAUUGAAUGAACUUAACGGCACUUAUUGAUAAAUUUACAAUUUGUUGAAAUUCAAUUUAAUGAAGUUUUAUUGAGUGAAGACUUUCCUUAAUUCAUUCAAAAAUCUCAAUUUAAUUAACUGACUCUUGUGUGCAAUCCACCAUGAACGAAUACAGCAGCAACAUAUUUUUGGAGAAGCUGAUGUUCCUGCCCUUCAACCUGAAGUGGAUAGUGUUCUUCGUGCUGAGUCAGCUACUUGCGUUCAUAGUGUCCACCUAUCACGUGUUCUUUGUCCACGUUCCCAGUUUCAACUACGUGUUCCUAGUUUCUUUUGUGCUGCUGACAGUUGACGUGGUGGGUGGAGCCAUUCACAGCUGUUUUCCGGAGAUAGCCAAUAGGCGUGAGCAUAAGCCUAGGCCGGCGCUGCAGCGCAUUGUCGAGGUGGUCUACAUUGCUCUCGAGAUCGGUAACAUUGCCCUGCCAGAGUCUACCACUCUCACCAUGCUAAUUAACGCGCUGCGCAUAUGGAAGAUAUUCAAUUGCUACCUAAUAACGUCGAACAUAGUAGGCCAAGCCAGCUUAACGUCAUUGCUGAUCAAGUUCUUCAUCGCCAGCCUGAUAAUCGUGCACAGUUUCUCGUGUCUAUGGUUCAUGAUUCUGCGCACUCAACGCGAUGAGGAGAACUGGUCUAGAGAGGUGCUCAGAACCAAAGUCAUCAACGAGGACCAGAUCAUAGAGUGGUACAUUCUGUGCGUCUACUUUGUGUCCAACACGUUCACUACUAUCGGAUUCGGCGAUAUUGUUGGACAAACUGACUUGGAAAAAGUGAUAUGCCUAAUUGUAAUGGUGUCCGGCUAUAUACUGGUUACUGGUCUCUUUCUAGCCGCAUUCAGCUCGUAUCUAACUCUGAAAUACUCCUACUAUUCCGAAUAUAAACAGCGGCGCACCCUCAUUCACAAAACAUUUAGAGAGUAUUUUCCUUCGGAGAACACGACAAUGCAGAUAAAAAACUUCUACGACAGAUUUUGGCAAGAAGAGGAAGGUAUUGUGGAUGCUGAUCUGAUGCAGAAACUGCCUGUUCCCAUACAAGCAAUGGUUUCCUACGACAUUUACAAGAACUCAUUGGAUUCGUGCUGCCUGCUUGAGGAUCUGCACCCAGCUGUGAAGCGCAACCUGAGCCAAUACAUGACCAAGCAAGUGCACUUGCCUGGCUGGAAGAUAAUCGAGAAGGGCGCCUGGCUUGAUACCUACAUCUACAUAUCUUACGGUGUGGCGCAGGUGCAAACGGACGAGGACGACGAGAGCUCUAUAUUCUCGAUGGGUGUUGGCAGUGGAUUCGGUUCGUCGGCGCUGCUGUUCAGUCGGCCUUCGAAGGUGGAUGUGAAGGCUGCCACUUACUGCAUCACUCACCAGCUGCGGCGUCAGCACCUAUUCCAUGUGCUCUCCCUCUACAAGGACACCAACCGCCUCAUCAUUGCUAGCAUGCAGAAAAAUAUGCAGAGAAUCUAUGCAUGCAUGGCAAGGAACAAAAGAUCUGAAAGAGAAUCAGGGCUGAAAGCACUGAAGGAUAACCUGAACAAUUUCAUGACCGCCAUCACGAUAUCGAACGGAGCCAUUUGGUUCUCCGACGAAGAAAUUAAAGUGAAAAAACGUUACCAGUCUGAAGAUUUGGCUUUGAUUUGCAGGGAUCUUGUGCAUAUGAACUAUAUACCGGCUGUGGAAACUGAAGAAAUAACUACAGAUGAUGCCUGUAUUCGAACCGAGUUUCCAUGGGUGCUAGAACCAAACUCUUCAUUUCUAAGAGUGUGGGGAUAUGUGAUUCUAAUCAUUGCACUUCUAGCCUCUCUGCUCAUACCGUACUUUGCAUUCUUCUAUCGAAUGAUACCCGAUCAGAUAAAAAUAGUAUUCACAAUUAUCAAUCUGGCCUACCUUAUGGAUGUGAUAUUCGUCUGUAUAACAGCACAAGAAAUGCCUGGCGGAAGAGUGAGCAAAAGCAAAGAAAUCUUGAAGUUGAAGGUGAAGGGAAUCUAUUUCAUAGUGGAUGUGUUUGGAGCUCUGCCGUUGUAUUCACUGUUGUCCAAUCUAAUGGAGGAAGAAAAUGCUCGCCUGAGACCUCUAUUCCUUCUCAACUAUCUGAUCGGCAUGAUAAAAGUGCAUAAAUUCUUCUCAAAGCUGGAGCAUGGAUUCGAGGUGGACCUACUGAUACUGCGCAUUGUCAAGUACAUAUUCUAUUUCACAGUUGUCGCCUAUUGGUUUGGCAGCAUAUUCUACACUGUUGCCUGUUUCAUGCCUGACUGCUUGGAGAACAGCUGGUUCGCGUUCCUGACACGCAGGGACGAACAGACUACGCCUCAGAAGGUGCGUCACAACUUUCCGUUUGCCGUCUCCAUCUACUUCGGGCUGCUGGUGAUGACGCAGACGGCUUUCGGUGACGUCGUGCCCUACAACUUGGCCGAAGUGCUCAUUGUCAUCGUAUUCCAGUUCAUUGGUACAUUCCUCUUCUGCUACCUCAUUGCUGACUACUCGGCCACGCUCACUAUUGAGGGAUUCUACAAAAUUGAAUUUCUGCAGUUCAUAGCUGUGAUGACAAGAAUUCUGGACAACAAUAAAAUUCCACCGGCCUUGAAGCAAAGAAUUUUCAAAUUUAUGCAUCUACAAUGGCAACACAGGAAAGGCUAUUCAGUACUGAAAGAAAAGCCAAUGAUGUGGGAUCUGCCUGUUCGUUUAUACACUUCGCUCAGAAUUGAACACUUGUCCAAGGAGCUCAAAAGUAUACCAUUCCUUGCGAGUAUGGGAGAUGACGUGUUGGACAAAUUGGCGCUGCUUGUUGAUAUCUACACAAUUCCCCCCAAUGAAGUAGUAGCCUACUCUGGCAGCACAGUCAAAGAGUUCUAUAUCAUUGAAGAAGGCAACUGUUCUAUGAUUGAUGGAAAGAAUAGAGUUGUGAGAACAAUACGUGCAAUGCAGUUUUUCAAUCUAUUCGAAAUGUUGAUGGGUUUGAAAUCCAUCUACAAUAUAAAAACGGCGACUCAUUGUCGAGUGGUAAGAGUUUCGAUGCAACAUAUCCAAGAAGUGAUGCAGCUGCUCAACAUUGAGAGCAUGCAGGAGAAACUCGACGAAGUCAUACAUGAGAUGAAAGACAGUGUGGAGGUGAAACGGCUGAAAGUGCAGAAGACGGUGACAAUCGGCGAGAAUGUGAUGGAGAACACAUGCGCCGGGUAUCUGUUCACGGCCGGACACAGGGCACAUCCCAAUGUCGACUAUUUGGACCCAUUCAACCAUAUCGGCUUCCUCAGUGGCCUCAGGUUUGUGCUGAUGCCGAUUACGAUCAACCCGAACGGCUCGUUUAUGUAUUCGUGGGAAAUAUCGAGGGGAGUGUUUGCUUUCUGCUCCAGCAUUAUAUUCCCGAUUCUGCCCUACCUCAUGACCUACAAGCCUGGCAUGAUUUAUGUGCCGCUGUUUCUCGACUUCACUGCACUGGCUGAUAUCUACAUCCGGAUGCACACGUGCUUCUACAACGAGGAGGGACUGCUAGUGCUGCACCCUCUGGUCACAGCCAUUCACUACUUCUCCUCGAGCUUUGUCAUCGAUCUGCUCGCCUGGCUGCCACUCAACUACUUCAUCGGCCCCCACCCGGUCGACGGAAACGCCGACUGGUUCUGGGUAACGCAUUGGUCGUCUGAUAUUAUACGAUGCAACAGAAUUCUGCAGAUGCAUCGCCUAGUGUCCUGGUUCGUGUAUCAAGAAAAUCAAAUAUUGCGGAAAACCGCUCAUAUAACAUUUUGCAAAUACUUUAUAAUUUCGCUGAUGUUCUUGAACACAUUGGCCUCCAUCUUGGAAUUCAUCACCAUUCGGUAUCAGGUGAAUCCGCACUCCAAACAAGUCAACUAUGAUAUGCUCAAGCAGCAGCAUUCCUGGAUCUAUUCCUAUCAUCCGGAUUUUACCCUGGACACAAUUGGUGAUUUUCUAACCAUGCAUCUGAUAGCCUACUACUGGACAGCUAGCGUGGCGCUGGCUAUAGGGCCCGGUGACAUCAGCGCUCAAAACGUCGAGGAAAUGGUCUACGUGUGUACAGUGGUUGUCCUAGGAUUUCUAUUCUACACGUAUGUGCUGGCUAUCCUAGCUAAUGCCAAGGCAAGCCUCGAUUUGAAUCUGACCAUGUACCAGGAACGAAUGCAGAGUCUUGUCUCGUUCAUGACCAGUGAGAAUGUCAGCAGAGAUAUUCAAAAAAAAGCAAUCCAUCACUUUGAAAGGGUGUGGCAGAGGACGAGAGGCGUGCCCCUCAACACCAUUUGCACCAAGUUCAAUGUCACGCUCAAAGAGGACUAUCUGCUGCAAAUCUAUAUGGAUACCUUUAGAAAGGUGUCUGUGUUUGAGGACGAGCGGUCGGCGUUCUUCCGCGAGCUGGCGGCCGCAGUGGAGGUGCGCUACUUCAUCAGUGGCGAGGACGUGAUGCGACAGAACGACGUCGUGUCGCACAUCAUGAUAGUGCACCACGGCCAGGUCAGGGGCAUCAACUGUGUCGGCGAAAAGGUGUUGCUGCUAGGGCGUGGAAGUAUAAUCGGCAACAUAAUCUGCGACAGUCCGGCUGUCAGAAUGAAUAUGCUGUUCGUAGCCGAGCGAAAUGCCGACAUUCUGUUCACUGAUUCCUACGUGUUCUUCAGCAUCCUCAAAGAGCACACCGGCAUUAUCAGCAAAUUGGACGAUCAUGUACACGAUGGAAAGCUGUACGUGCCAUCGAGCGACGUGUCCCGCAAGGAGGAGAAGAAGAAGACGUACCGACCGCACUGGCUGCAGAAGUCGUUCAAGAUGUCGGCAGAUGCGGCCAGCCAGGACUCGCGGUCGGAUCUGGGUGAGGGGGGCCGGGGUGCGGCGGCGCGCAAGGCCAACCGGUCCAGCUCUGUCGACGAGAAGGAGUUGCCGACAAAGGACAGGCCAGGCAAUUUGCGAGACACCCCCCGAGCUGCGUCCAUGGAUGGCUGGGGGGAGACGGCUGGCAGUAAGCGCGGCACCAAGAGCAAGCCUAGGCGCAAAAACCUCACCGCUUGGUUGAUGAUAACUGCCCGCCUGCUGAACAAUACAUUCUGCACGGUGUGUGUGAAUACGUCACUUCUUCUCAGUGUCAUCAUGUGCUCCUUUGAUCUGGGCUUUCAAAGUGAGGAGCUAUUCAUUCCCAUUCAAAUUCUCGAAGUCAAAUAUGCUAUCAUUAUACCUGAAGAGUUGGACAGGUUUUAUACUGGAUUUUAUUGCUAUAAUGCCGAUAGGCUUAGUUUUGAGGUACACUACCAGUCACUAUGCCAUGACAUUGGGUAAUACACUGCAUCUUUUGAGAAUGAUAAAAGUGUACCGUUUCAUUGAAGUGAAGUCAGACCGGCUGAACGUGAAAGUGGUGUACAUUAAAAUGAUGGUCAUAGCCAUCACCUUCACACUCAUAUUCCACAUAAUGGCCUGUGUGUGGAACGCCGUGCAUUGUCCCCGCAAUAUUUGCAAUGAGGCAGACAAAAUCUGCGACAGCAACUACAUCUGCGCGAUCUACUACACGACGACGACGCUGAUCGGCACCGGGUACGGCGACAUGGGUCCGACCCGCAUCCUCGAGUACGUCUACGUGGUCGCCAUGAUUGUGUUCAGCCGAUUCAUAUUCGCCAUGUUCAUAGGUGACAUCACCAACACUGUGCAGACCAACAACUUCUCAUUUCAGACCUACGAGUACCAGCUCAUGCGCUUGAAGAAAUACUUGUCGGUGAACGGUGUGAACACAUCGGUGGUGAGGCCGGUGGUGGAGUAUUGCACCAGGCUGUGGGCGGGGCAUAGCGGCGAGCAGAUCCCCGCCUUCUUCAGAAUGGCCAACAUCUGUCUGCAGCAGGACCUCAGCAACGAGAUUUACGGCAAACAUUUCACCGAGUGCUUCCUGUUUGUGGGCCUGCACAAGGACCUGUUGAGGCAGGUGGCCUGUUGCUGUGAGCAGAUUGUGUACCACCCGAACGACAUCAUCGCCCAUGAACGGCAGGUCAAUAACAGGAUGUACAUCAUUCACAAGGGCGCAGUGCAGGCCUCCAAUUCCGACGGAAAUACGCUCAAUUUUCAGCAGAGAGACUUCUUUGGUGUUCCGCAAGGAUUGUACGAGAACAUGCCUCACUCGUACACUUACAAGGCUUUGAAAGUGUGUGUCAUUCUGUCGUUGUGUUUCGACGAUUGGAGCAAUCUGCUUCAGUUUUUCCCCGCCUCAAGAGUCGAGCUCUACGACCGCAUUGAACGCCUCGAAAGGAUGUACAUUGCCAAAAACCUUUCCAAAACUUUCUCAAUUCAAUCAGCAGGACAAUAAUAUUCUUUCAAUAUUGUGAUGAAUAAUGUUUACCAAGAGGUAUUCUAGUUUAAUUAUGAUGAUUAAUCAACAUUAUUUGAUCUGUUAAA